This 953-nucleotide ribosomal RNA is filed under the name Camarosporidiella laburni. RNAcentral's name for it is "SSU rRNA". It matches the Rfam family "Eukaryotic small subunit ribosomal RNA", at positions 139 to 1102 of the family's 1831-position model. Lineage: Eukaryota; Fungi; Ascomycota; Dothideomycetes; Pleosporales. The record is from RNAcentral.
AUGGAUAACCGUGGUAAUUCUAGAGCUAAUACAUGCUGGAAACCCCAACUUCGGGAGGGGUGUAUUUAUUAGAUAAAAAACCAACGCCCUUCGGGGCUUCUUGGUGAUUCAUAAUAACUUUACGGAUCGCAUGGCCUUGCGCCGGCGACGGUUCAUUCAAAUUUCUGCCCUAUCAACUUUCGAUGGUAAGGUAUUGGCUUACCAUGGUUUCAACGGGUAACGGGGAAUUAGGGUUCGAUUCCGGAGAGGGAGCUUGAGAAACGGCUACCACAUCCAAGGAAGGCAGCAGGCGCGCAAAUUACCCAAUCCCGACACGGGGAGGUAGUGACAAUAAAUACUGAUACAGGGCUCUUUUGGGUCUUGUAAUUGGAAUGAGUACAAUUUAAACCUCUUAACGAGGAACAAUUGGAGGGCAAGUCUGGUGCCAGCAGCCGCGGUAAUUCCAGCUCCAAUAGCGUAUAUUAAAGUUGUUGCAGUUAAAAAGCUCGUAGUUGAAACUUGGGUCUGGCUGGCAGGUCCGCCUCACCGCGUGUACUUGUCCGGCCGGGCCUUCCUUCUGGAGAACCUCAUGCCCUUCACUGGGCGUGUUGGGGACCAGGACUUUUACUUUGAAAAAAUUAGAGUGUUCAAAGCAGGCCUUUGCUCGAAUACGUUAGCAUGGAAUAAUAGAAUAGGACGUGCGGUCCUAUUUUGUUGGUUUCUAGGACCGCCGUAAUGAUUAAUAGGGACAGUCGGGGGCAUCAGUAUUCAAUUGUCAGAGGUGAAAUUCUUGGAUUUAUUGAAGACUAACUACUGCGAAAGCAUUUGCCAAGGAUGUUUUCAUUAAUCAGUGAACGAAAGUUAGGGGAUCGAAGACGAUCAGAUACCGUCGUAGUCUUAACCGUAAACUAUGCCGACUAGGGAUCGGGCGAUGUUCUUUUUCUGACUCGCUCGGCACCUUACGAGAAAUCAAA